RNAcentral lists this ribosomal RNA (459 nucleotides) under uncultured bacterium. RNAcentral's name for it is "partial 16S ribosomal RNA". It matches the Rfam family "Bacterial small subunit ribosomal RNA", at positions 338 to 795 of the family's 1533-position model. The record is from RNAcentral.
CCUACGGGAGGCUGCAGUGAGGAAUAUUGGUCAAUGGCCGGAAGGCUGAACCAGCCAAGCCGCGUGAAGGACGAAGGUGCCAAGCAUUGUAAACUUCUUUUGUCAAGGGAUAAAAUCAGGCUCGAAAGCCUCACCGCAUGUACUUUAAGAAAAAGCAUCGGCUAACUCCGUGCCAGCAGCCGCGGUAAUACGGAGGAUGCGAGCGUUAUCCGGAUUUAUUGGGUUUAAAGGGUGCGUAGGCGGGCUGUUAAGUCAGCGGUAAAAGGCGGGGGCUCAACCCCGGCGAGCAGUUGAGACUGACUGUCUUGAGAAGUCGAGAGGUAUGCGGAAUGCGUGGUGUAGCGGUGAAAUGCUUAGAUAUUGCGCAGAACUCCGAUUGCGAAGGCAGCAUACCGGAGGGGAUCUGACGCUGAGGCACGAAAGCGUGGGUAUCGAACAGGAUUAGAUACCCUGGUAGUC